GAUGAACGCUGGCGGCGUGCCUAAUACAUGCAAGUCGAGCGAACAGACGAGGAGCUUGCUCCUCUGAUGUUAGCGGCGGACGGGUGAGUAACACGUGGAUAACCUACCUAUAAGACUGGGAUAACUUCGGGAAACCGGAGCUAAUACCGGAUAAUAUUUUGAACCGCAUGGUUCAACAGUGAAAGACGUUCUUGCUGUCACUUAUAGAUGGAUCCGCGCUGCAUUAGCUAGUUGGUAAGGUAACGGCUUACCAAGGCAACGAUGCAUAGCCGACCUGAGAGGGUGAUCGGCCACACUGGAACAGAGACACGGUCCAGACUCCUACGGGAGGCAGCAGUAGGGAAUCUUCCGCAAUGGGCGAAAGCAUGACGGAGCAACGCCGCGUGAGUGAUGAAGGUCUUCGGAUCGUAAAACUCUGUUAUUAGGGAAGAACAGAUGUGUAAGUAACUGUGCACAUCUUGACGGUACCUAAUCAGAAAGCCACGGCUAACUACGUG
Molecule: ribosomal RNA, 497 nt
Filed under: uncultured bacterium
Lineage: Bacteria
Description: partial 16S ribosomal RNA
Rfam family: Bacterial small subunit ribosomal RNA
Source: RNAcentral